RNAcentral lists this unclassified non-coding RNA (338 nucleotides) under soil metagenome. Its description in RNAcentral is "partial contains 5.8S ribosomal RNA, internal transcribed spacer 2, and large subunit ribosomal RNA". The stretch from base 1 to 120 matches the Rfam family "5.8S ribosomal RNA", at positions 35 to 154 of the family's 154-position model. The record is from RNAcentral.
GAUGAAGAACGUAGCGAAACGCGAUAAGUAAUGUGAAUUGCAGAAUUCAGUGAAUCAUCGAAUCUUUGAACGCACAUUGCGCCCGGCAGUACUCUGCCGGGCAUGCCUGUUCGAGCGUCAUUUCAACCCUCAAGCCCUGCUUGGUGUUGGGGUCCCACGGCCGCCGUGGGCCCUGAAAGGAAGUGGCGGGCUCGCUACAACUCCGAGCGUAGUAAUUCAUUAUCUCGCUUAGGGCGUUGGGCGGCGCUCCUGCCGUUAAAGAUCCAUCUUUAACUCAAGGUUGACCUCGGAUCAGGUAGGAAUACCCGCUGAACUUAAGCAUAUCAAUAAGCGGAGGA